This 650-nucleotide ribosomal RNA is filed under the name uncultured bacterium. Its description in RNAcentral is "bacterial SSU rRNA". It matches the Rfam family "Bacterial small subunit ribosomal RNA", at positions 875 to 1529 of the family's 1533-position model. The record is from RNAcentral.
GGGGAGUACGGUCGCAAGAUUAAAACUCAAAGGAAUUGACGGGGACCCGCACAAGCGGUGGAUGAUGUGGAUUAAUUCGAUGCAACGCGAACAACCUUACCUACCCUUGACAUGUCCGGAAGGCUGCUGAAAGGCGGCUGUGCCCGAAAGGGAACUGGAACACAGGUGCUGCAUGGCUGUCGUCAGCUCGUGUCGUGAGAUGUUGGGUUAAGUCCCGCAACGAGCGCAACCCUUGUCCUUAGUUGCUACGCAAGGGCACUCUAAGGAGACUGCCGGUGACAAACCGGAGGAAGGUGGGGAUGACGUCAAGUCCUCAUGGCCCUUAUGGGUAGGGCUUCACACGUCAUACAAUGGUCGGUACAGAGGGUAGCCAACCCGCGAGGGGGAGCCAAUCCCAGAAAGCCGAUCGUAGUCCGGAUCGCAGUCUGCAACUCGACUGCGUGAAGUCGGAAUCGCUAGUAAUCGCGGAUCAGCAUGUCGCGGUGAAUACGUUCCCGGGUCUUGUACACACCGCCCGUCACACCAUGGGAGUGGAAUCCGCCAGAAGUAGGUAGUCUAACCGCAAGGGGGACGCUUACCACGGUAGGUUUCAUGACUGGGGUGAAGUCGUAACAAGGUAGCCGUAUCGGAAGGUGCGGCUGGAUCACCUC